GCUUCCAUGGCGCAAUUGGCUAGCGCGUCCGACUGUUAAUCGGGAGGUUGGUGGUUCAAGCCCACCUGGGAGCG
Molecule: transfer RNA, 74 nt
Organism: Conidiobolus coronatus NRRL 28638
Lineage: Eukaryota; Fungi; Entomophthoromycota; Entomophthoromycetes; Entomophthorales; Conidiobolaceae
Rfam family: tRNA
About the family: Transfer RNA (tRNA) molecules are approximately 80 nucleotides in length. Their secondary structure includes four short double-helical elements and three loops (D, anti-codon, and T loops).
Source: Rfam